UGUCUGAAAGUAAAACUAUCACCUCAUCACAAAGUGCAGGAUGUGGUUGAUGUUUCACAGUCCAACAGGUGCAAACAAAGACACGACCUGUAAGAAGUUUCAUAUUUACUGAAGACUCCAGUGACGAGAAAAGGUCCAGCGUCACGUUAUCAGUCCAAUCCUCGGCCUCUCACCUGCCUCGACUCUGCACCCACGGGCUUCUCUCUGCCUCGGGUGCAACUUUAUGCUUAAUUAAACGAAGGGAAACUCCAAAAACAUGACUUAUGUUUGAAAAGAGGUGACUGGGCCUCUUGUUCUUUUGAUGGCCUUUGAUAAAACAACAACUUAACCUUUUUAGAUUAAAGAAACGGAAACACCUCGCAGUUUCCUCGAGAUCGCUUUCUACGCUAUCUGCAAACAUGUGAAGCUUCUUGUCUUUGCACAAAAUAAAUGUGCACGUAUGUAGGGAUGUUUGUGCGAUACUCUGCUCCUUUUAGAGUCAAAUUUAAAGAGCCCAGAGUCACAGAAGUUUGAGCUGAACUAUAACGAAACUCAGUAAAACCACAGUGAAACCCACAGCAACAGACGCGAGCUCCAACAGCCACAUCAAAUCAACAACAUCCACAGCGUUUUACCAUCUAAAAAAACAGCAAAAAUCAAAGGUUUAUGGCCCACACUGGAAAAAAAACAACAUCUACACUGAAAAAAUUGUUCAAGAGGGGUUGUUCAAAUUGCAAAAACAAAUUUGACAACAAUAACAGGACUUUUUUACAUUUCUCUGUCCAGCAUGUUUAAAUCUUACAAAGGUCGCUUGAUUGUGGCGGAUGUUAGACCUGCAUGUUUUAACCAGACUGAGGAAGCAUGACUUUAUUAUCAUUUCUGGUGAGGCUCCUCCCUCUGGAAUUCUCCUCCCCAAUUUUUUGGAGGGAAAAUUCAAAUGCAGCAGGACACAGGACAGAUCCAGGAGCAGAGACACACAGUGUGGAGCAGGAGGAUUAUCAGAGCUGAUGUGGAGAGUCUUGUACAAACACAGAGUGACGUCCAGGUUCUGCUGAAGCUGUGGGGAAGUUCAUGAAUGUUACAGCUGAUGUUUCAGGAAAAAGGAAGAUGUUUGAGAACCAACAAACCACAGAGCACAGAUGAACAAAGGUGAUGUGACACUAGGAGACUUUAUACCAGAUGCCCUCCCUGUUACUGUGUUUAGAGGAAGAAAAGCAGCACACG
Boleophthalmus pectinirostris (great blue-spotted mudskipper) is the source of this 1203-nucleotide long non-coding RNA. RefSeq lists it as uncharacterized. The record is from RefSeq and is a predicted model, not a curated record. The transcript is spliced from 3 exons. NCBI's taxonomy places the organism in Eukaryota, Metazoa, Chordata, Actinopteri, Gobiiformes, Gobiidae.